Molecule: long non-coding RNA, 1917 nt
Filed under: Equus caballus (horse)
Lineage: Eukaryota; Metazoa; Chordata; Mammalia; Perissodactyla; Equidae
Description: lncRNA (ENSECAG00000059874.1)
Source: RNAcentral
CACAGAAGAAGAGCCUUGAAUUGGGUGUGGGUCAGAAGAAAAGUUAAGGAGACAGGUUCUGGAUCUCUGAGAAGACUUAAGAGGAAGCAGAAAGUCCUGGUCCGUGAUAUUAGACACCCCUGACUUUGCUCACGGUGUUUCAUGUUUCUAAGUCCUGAAAUCAUAAAUACCUGAGAAGCCCUGCCCUCUGGGAGGUCUUCCUCCCACGUGUGAGUGAUUCUCUCCUUGAUGUAUUAUUACUAUACAAAUUGAAUACUGGACGUGUCCCACUCUUAGCUCCUUACUUAACGAACAGUCUCUACUCAGUGCCACUGCUGUCUCCCAGCUGUAGAAUUAGACCAGAAGAAGAAAAGGAACCUGAAAGAUCUCAUCCAUAGCCAAAACCUCUGACCCUGAGUGAAAGCAUGGGCCAGGGGUUUUGGGGAGGGAAAUCCUGGAGAGGUGGUCAAGGUGGAAAAUCAUAAAAACUCAAAGGCUCAGACUAAAUCAAGAAAAGAACAGACUUGGAUACUUACUAACUUUAUGCAAGUCAGCCUUGAAUAAACAGGUGUUCACCAAACUAAGAGGAAGAAUUUUUUAAAUGUGCAAGAAUUCUGCAACAUCUGCUUCUGCAACGGUGGAGUAAAGACCUCCAAAUUCUACUCCUCCAGAAAAGUGACAAGAACAUUGCAAAAUCUGUCAAAAUCCACUUUUUCAGAACUCCGAAAAUUAACUAAAGAUUUGCAACCAUCCAAAGAUUGUUUAUUCAAGAAAAAUGGCGGAAUCUCAAUAAGAACUAAGCCUUUAACUUGCCCUAAUCUCAUAUGUCUUUCCCCAACUCCAUGGCAGCCUUGAAAAUAAACAGUCCUAUGUGAUGAGAAAACAGCUAUUUUGAGUUGCUGCCCAGGCAUUUUAUAGUAUGACAACCCUCCUCACACCCAAAGUGGGGACAUCUGGAUAAGGACUGGAGCUUGGGAUCCCACCACAAGUUCCUGCUUCGCUUUUCCCUGGACACCUUUUAAAAUAAGCACUAAAAGUUGAGGCUUUGAAAAGCUAGUGAUGACCACCUCAACCACCUUACAAGUAAUAGGUGCUUGCUACCCUGCUGUCUGUCUCCUGCUUGCUAAUGACAUAGGAUGAAGGACUUCCCCCCGCCCUGUUUCUGGCAUCUGUAAAUAAUAAAUCUUGUGACUUUACUUCCUUUGUAUGAGUGUAUUGAAACUGCAUCUUCAAUCAAAAUGGCUCUGAGGUUUCCGCUAACCCCAAAUGGGAGCUCGGAUGCCGAGGGAGCUGCUUGCUGCCCCUGUGUGGGUGGCUUGUGCCUCCUCAUUCAGCAGGUCAUGAUCUGCUUAAUUUUAACUUAACACACCAGCUACAAGCCCCACAAUGCACCCUGCAGCUACAGUCACUGUGAAACCAGCAACCAAGUAGCCACUAAAAGGUUCUGAACAGGUUUUGAGCACCCCGAAGUCCCCUGUCCAGAGAAUUGUUCUUAUUUGACCUGUCUGGAAGUCCACUGAAAAACUCCAUUCUCAAGGUCUGCCUCUACUUGACCUGACUCGGAGCUCUGCUCUGGGUAAACAGCCCAGCUGCAGGCCAUUUGUCGAACAGGAUUAGCAGCAGUCUUUUAGCAUAGUGCUGCCUGAAGUGGCAUUACCAGUUGGGGUGAACAAGAAACUUACCAAAAAUCUUAAAAGAAAAAACUGGGGAAUGAGAAGUCCGUAAGAGUUUUGAAAGCUCUAAAUAUUCCUGAGAGUCUAGAAGGUCACCCUCAUGGACAGAGUAGUGCACAUGGCACAGAAACACCUGAGAAGGCCCUAUGCUCUCACAUAUAGCUGACCUUGAGGCCUCAUGCAAGCAGGAAGUGAGGCUAAGGCAGAGCUGUAGACUGAUGGCUGGAGUGUUGAAGCUAUGCCCCAGUGCACACACAGAGUCCUC